Molecule: long non-coding RNA, 1870 nt
Organism: Cyanistes caeruleus (blue tit)
Lineage: Eukaryota; Metazoa; Chordata; Aves; Passeriformes; Paridae
Source: Ensembl
AUGAGCCGCCAUUUUGUUUUCCGCCAUUUUGUUUCCGUUUUCCGCCAUAUUUUUGUCAUUUCUUCACCGUUUUUCGCCGUUUUUUCACCGUUUUUCCCCGAUUUUUCCCCAUUUCCCCCAACUUUUAACCCUUUCAUCCCUCAUUUGUUUCAUUUUCCCCCAUUUUGUUCCCAUUUCCCGCCAUUUUCCCUCAAUUUCCGCCAUUUUGUUCCCAUGAGCCGCCAUUUUGUUUUCCGCCAUUUUGUUUCCGUUUUCCGCCAUAUUUUUGCCAUUUCUUCACCGUUUUUCACCAUUUUUUCAUCAUUUUCCCCCAAAUUUUCACCAUUUCCCCCAAUUUUUAACCCUUUCAUCCCUCAUUUGUUUAAUUUUCCGCCAUUUUGUUCCCAUUUCCCGCCAUUUUCCCUCAAUUUCCGCCAUUUUGUUUCAAUUUUCCGCCAUAUUUUCGCCGUUUCUUCACCGUUUUUCCCCAAAUUUUCCCCAUUUCUCUCCAUUUUUAACCCUUUCAUGCUUCAUUUCCCUCCUUUCCCGCCAUCUUGUUUCUGUUUCCCGCCAUUUUCCCUCAAUUUCCGCCAUUUUGUUUCCAUUUUCCGCCAUAUUUUCGUCAUUUCUUCACCGUUUUCACCAUUUUUUCAUCAUUUUUCCCCAAAUUUUCCCCAUUUCCCCCAAUUUUUAACCCUUUCAUUCCCCAUUGUUUCAUUUUCCCCCAUUUUGUUUCCAUUUCCCGCCAUUUUCCCUCAAUUUCCGCCAUUUUGUUUCUGUUUUCUGCCAUUUUGUUUCCGUUUUCCGCCAUAUUUUCGCCGUUUCUUCACCGUUUUUCGCCGUUUUUUCACCGUUUUUCCCCGUUUUUUCCCCAUUUCUCCCAUUUUUUAACCCUUUCACGCCCCCUCCAACCCUUUCACCCACUCCACCGUCCUCUCCCUCGCCUCCUCCCAGGUAAAAAGCGGCCGGAAGCCGAACCUUUUCUCGGCCUUAUCCGUGCGAACGGUGAACGCCGUCCGCGCCACCGCCCACGUGUAGGGGUUCAACCAGGCCCCAAAUUCUCGAUUUUUCCCGUUUUUUCCCCAUUUAUUCCCAGUUUUCCCUGGAUUUCCCAUUUUUUUUCCAUUUUUUCCCCCAUUUUUAAUUUUUUUUCCCGUUUUUUCCUCAUUUUUUCCCAUUUUUUGGUGUUUUUUCCCCAAUUUUUCCCAUUUUUCCCCAUUUCUCUCCAUUUUUAACCCUUUCAUGCUUCAUUUCCCUCCUUUCCCGCCAUCUUGUUUCUGUUUCCCGCCAUUUUCCCUCAAUUUCCGCCAUUUUGUUUCCAUUUUCCGCCAUAUUUUCGUCAUUUCUUCACCGUUUUCACCAUUUUUUCAUCAUUUUUCCCCAAAUUUUCCCCAUUUCCCCCAAUUUUUAACCCUUUCAUUCCCCAUUGUUUCAUUUUCCCCCAUUUUGUUUCCAUUUCCCGCCAUUUUCCCUCAAUUUCCGCCAUUUUGUUUCUGUUUUCCGCCAUUUUGUUUCCAUUUUCCGCCAUUUUUUCACCAUUUUUUCACAAUUUCCCCCCAAAUUUUCCCCAUUUCCCCCAUUUUUAACUCUUUAAUUCCUCAAUUUCUUUGUUUUCCGCCAUUUUGUUUCCAUUUCCUGCCAUUUUCCCUCAAUUUCCGCCAUUUUGUUCCCAUGAGCCGCCAUUUUGUUUUCCGCCAUUUUGUUACCGUUUUCCACCAUAUUUUUGCCAUUUCUUCACCGUUUUUCACCAUUUUUUCAUCAUUUUCCCCCAAAUUUUCACCAUUUCCCCCAAUUUUUAACCCUUUCAUCCCUCAUUUGUUUAAUUUUCCGCCAUUUUGUUUCCAUUUCCCGCCAUUUUCCCUCAAUUUCCGCCAUUUUGUUUCCGUUUUCC